Molecule: ribosomal RNA, 280 nt
Filed under: uncultured bacterium
Lineage: Bacteria
Description: partial 16S ribosomal RNA
Rfam family: Bacterial small subunit ribosomal RNA
Source: RNAcentral
CCUACGGGAGGCAGCAGUGGGGAAUCUUGGACAAUGGGCGCAAGCCUGAUCCAGCAAUGCCGCGUGGGUGAAGACGGCCUGCGGGUUGUAAAGCCCUUUUCGUGGGGAAGAAAGCCCUGAGUUGAACAGACUCAGGGGGUGACGUUACCUGCGGAAGAAGCACCGGCCAACUCCGUGCCAGCAGCCGCGGUAAUACGGAGGGUGCGAGCGUUAAUCGGAAUUACUGGGCGUAAAGCGCACGUAGGCGGUCAGUUAAGUCCGUUGUGAAAGCCCUGGGCUC